CGUCAAACUACAUGUACCUGGCGAUACCGUGACAAAUAUUGCCUGCUUUAAUAUGUUAGAUUACAUGACACACAAUAAUAACAAAAACUGAUCUAACAUUUUCAAGUUAGUUUCAAUUCAUUGUAACCAUAUAUAUCCUGAUUGUACAUGUAUAACCUUUCAAUAUGUCAAUUCUCAAUCAUUGUAUGACAGACGACAUUCAGGAAUUA
This 209-nucleotide long non-coding RNA is filed under the name Mytilus galloprovincialis (Mediterranean mussel). The record is from RNAcentral. Lineage: Eukaryota; Metazoa; Mollusca; Bivalvia; Mytilida; Mytilidae.